This 497-nucleotide ribosomal RNA is filed under the name uncultured bacterium. RNAcentral describes it as "partial 16S ribosomal RNA". It matches the Rfam family "Bacterial small subunit ribosomal RNA", at positions 28 to 507 of the family's 1533-position model. The record is from RNAcentral.
GAUGAACGCUGGCGGCGUGCCUAAUACAUGCAAGUCGAGCGAACGGACGAGAAGCUUGCUUCUCUGAUGUUAGCGGCGGACGGGUGAGUAACACGUGUAUAACCCACUUAUAAGACUGGUAUAACUUCGGGAAACCGUAGCUAAUACCGGAUAAUAUUUUGAACCGCAUGGUUCAAUAGUGAAAGACGGUCUUGCUGUCACUUAUCGAUGGAUCCGCGCUGCAUUAGCUAGUUGGUAAGGUAACGGCUUACCAAGGCAACGAUGCAUAGCCGACCGGAUAGAGGGAUAGGCGGCCCGGGAGCGGGACCGCGGACAAGGGUCCUAAGGGACGGAGCAGAAGGGUAUAGGCCGCAAUGGGCGAAAGCCUGACGGAGUAACGCCGAGUGAGUGAUGGAGGUCUUCGGAUCGUGAAAAUCGGUUACUAGGGGAAAACAUAUGUGUAAGUAACUGUGCAGAGCUUGACGGUAACUGAUCAGAAAGCCACGGCUAACUACGUG